RNAcentral lists this ribosomal RNA (253 nucleotides) under uncultured bacterium. RNAcentral's name for it is "partial 16S ribosomal RNA". It matches the Rfam family "Bacterial small subunit ribosomal RNA", at positions 57 to 305 of the family's 1533-position model. The record is from RNAcentral.
GCAAGUCGAGGGGUAACAGGGAAGCUUGCUAUUUUGCUGACGAGUGGCGCACGGGUGCGUAACGCGUAUACAAUCUACCUUUUACAGGGGGAUAGCCUUUAGAAAUGAAGAUUAAUACCCCAUAGUAUUAUAAAUUGGCAUCAAUUAAUAAUUAAAAUUUCGGUGGUAAAAGAUGAGUAUGCGUUCUAUUAGCUAGUAGGUAAGGUAACGGCUUACCUAGGCAACGAUAGAUAGGGGCCCUGAGAGGGGGAUC